GUGGAAGUGGAAGCCAAAUAAACCCUUUUCUCUCCAACUUGCUUUUUGGUCAUAGUGUCUCUUCACAGCAAUAAAACCCUAACUAAGACACUAUCUAUCACUUUUCUAAAUCCAUUCUACUGGGCAGACACCUAGGUUAAUUCUGCAUCUCUGCUCUUACAGUAUGCUGGGUUGAUUAUUUUCAGCUUAGACCCAGGAGCCAUAUCGUGGGGUCCUAAGUUAGUUCUAUUCAUGUUUAGAUAAAACUUCCUGCCCAUGUCCAGAGUGGAUGGACUAAUGCACAGAAAAGGGGGCACACCAACCGCACGCACAGUUCUGAAGAGAAGGACGGAUAACCAGUAAAGGAACCCAGCAUCUCCAGGGACCCGGGAAUUGCAAAUGGAAAGUCCGCAGAGGUUCCAUUUCACCCUGGCCAGAACGGCCACCAGAAGAAACCGGACCAAACCAUGAAUGCUAAUGAGGAUUUGAGGGGGAAAGAGCACAUAUAUGCUGAUCGUGGGAAUGCCAGUCGGUCUGGAUUAAUGUCUUGCCGAAGAGCUGGCUGUCUGGUGGCUCAGUCAUGUUGACAUAAAAUGAGCCAACUUUUGACUGGAACCUCUGUGCUCUCUUCUGUCAUUUUAUAGCACCCUGUGACUCUUAAAAAGUGAACGUUCUUUUUUGCUUUGGGAAGUUCUUUCUCCUGUUACAGUCUCCCAACUCAAGAUUUUAAGUAGAAAUCAACACAGGCUUCUCCUGUUUGUUUUUUGCCAUCUACCCUUUUCCCCACAAGACGACACAUGCUCCCAAGAAGCUUCCUUCAUUUCGAAUGUUCAAAGAGGACUCUGCAGGAGAGACAGCCACUGGUUUUUGGCAGCAGGGCAGCUCUGCAGUGACAACCAAGUACUCGCACAAGGGGCAACGGCAGGUACCAACAUCCCUGCUUGAUCAGACAGUUUAUGAGAUGGCAGGAGAAGACAGACCUUAUCUUCAGGUGCUGUGUGAUUAUGCUAUUGCUCUGGCAGUGAGAGAGCAGAAGGCUGGCAAGAGCUGAUGUCCCCAUUGAGGGAGAGGAACCACAGUUCCUUCAGAGGCCAAAAGAAACCGCAGAGGCGAAACCCCCAAACCACACUCCAGUAGAUACAGCCUCUGGGGCUCCAAAUUCUUCAGAACCCAUCAGAUGGGAGGGAAAGGCAUGGUUAUUUUCCAGCCAGAGGCCCAGGCUUGAAGAAAUGAAUGGCAUCUCCAUGCAAGACAGACAGCUGCCAAAAGUCCCUCUCCUAGUAGCACUGAGGUCUCAAGGAAGAGCCCACAUGCCUGGGCAGAACCUUCCAGGCUCUGGUACAAAGGAUUCUGUCCCCCUUCCCCCUCCCCACCUUUAUUCAUUUUCCACUGAUUUUUUUUUCUUUCUGUGAGCCUAUGACAAGAGGAAGAAACUAAUCAUAAAACCUGAUCAUAAAAUUCCUUCCUACACUUGAAGACAGCUAUUAAAUAUUCACUCAGCUGAGGUCUGCUUGCAUCCUUUAAAACAAAAGGGGCUCCCGGCUCCCACCGUCCCCACCCCUGGGACCAGCGCCGACCAUCCCGAAAGUUGCCACUGCCCCUGUGUUGAGGGCGAAGUUAGCGAAUCUGGAGCUGCGAGUCUCAACUUGGGGGAGGGGGCGACGGGCAGGGCUGGGGAGGGGAGUGAG
Mus spicilegus (steppe mouse) is the source of this 1667-nucleotide long non-coding RNA. The record is from Ensembl. Lineage: Eukaryota; Metazoa; Chordata; Mammalia; Rodentia; Muridae.